This 417-nucleotide ribosomal RNA is filed under the name grassland soil clone saf1_208. RNAcentral describes it as "bacterial SSU rRNA". It matches the Rfam family "Bacterial small subunit ribosomal RNA", at positions 50 to 477 of the family's 1533-position model. The record is from RNAcentral.
CAGACAUGCAAGUCGAACGAUUAAAGCUCUCUUCGGAGAGUGCAUAGAGUGGCGCACGGGUGAGUAACACGUAAGUAAUCUACCCUCGAGUGGGGAAUAACGUCCGGAAACGGACGCUAAUACCGCAUAAUGCAGCGGCACCGCAAGGUGACAGUUGUUAAAGGAGAAAUUCGCUUGAGGAGGAGCUUGCGGCAGAUUAGCUUGUUGGUAAGGUAACGGCUUACCAAGGCUACGAUCUGUAACCGGUCUUAGAGGACGGUCGGUCACACUGACACUGAAUAACGGGUCAGACUCCUACGGGAGGCAGCAGUCGGGAAUUUUGGGCAAUGGGCGAAAGCCUGACCCAGCAACGCCGCGUGAAGGAUGAAGUAUUUCGGUAUGUAAACUUCGAAAGAAUAGGAAGAAUAAAUGACGGUA